AUUAUAUAAUAAAACUUUAUUUGAUAACAUAAAGCAACCUGUCUAAAAUCAAAUUUCUAAAUUACAAUAAUCACAGUGAUCUAAAAUAUACACCGUAUCACACAAUCACAGUGAAAUUAUAUUACAUCCUCACUAAAUAUAGCAAGUCUAUUUUUAUGGAAUAUGCAAUAACCUUACAAUCUCUAUUCUUACAUAUGCAGAAAAUAUGAAUUAAAUCAGAUGUGUGGAUGAACACAUUCAAAGAUGUAAAAGGGACUUUUUUUUUUUAUAAUAAGUUUGUAUCUGGAAUUUUGCAAUAACCUUAUAAUCUCUAUUCUUACAUAUGCAGAAUAUAUGAAUUCAAUUUGAUAUUUGUAUGGAGUUUAUCUUACACAUGACUCAGAUCAAUUACAAACGAAAGUGAAUCAACGUCUGGUGAAUCUGAAGUACGGUAGAGUCCAUAAAGUGGAUACCUCGGGUAUGCAGGGUCGUUAUGAUAAAAAACAUAAAAUGUAGAGAAUCUUUUAACAACAACACUUUAGAGACUGCUGCAGAAAUGUAUUGAUGGCACCGACAUCAGUAAUACUCUCUACAAAAGACUAAGAUGUAAAAGUGACAUUUUUUAAAUCAAAAGUUGGUAUCAGGAAUUAUGCAAUAACCUUUCAAUCUUUAUUCUUACAUAUGCAGAAUAUAUGAAUUAAAUUGGGUGUUGUAUGGAAAUUAUCUGACAUAAAACACAUUAAGAUGUAAAAGGGACUUUGUCUGAUAGAAGGUUUGUAUCAGGAAUUAUGCAAUAACUUUUUACAUGUGUAGAAUAUAUGAAUUAAAUCUGAUGUUUGGAUGGAUUAUCUUACAUACACAUUAAGAUGUAAAAGGGACCUUUUCUAAAUUAAAAAGUUAGUAUGCAAUAACCUUUCAAUCUCUGUUCUUACAUAAGCAGAAUGUAUGAAUUAAAUUGAGGUGUGGAUGGAAAUUAUUUUACAUAAAACAGUAAGAUGUAAAAGUUUGUAUCUUGAAUUAUGCAUUACUCUUACAAUCUCUAUUCUUACAUUAUGCAGAAUAUAUGAAUUAUGUUUGAAUGAAAAUUAUCUUACAUAAAUCAUACUGAGAUGAAUACAGGAAAGGCUCAAAAGUUAGUAUCCUGAGUGGUACGUGGAUAUUCAAUAAAACAACGAAUAUAUUAGUUGCUGCAAAAUUGAAAAUUGUGGAUUCAGGAUUGAAAAAAAAAAAUCCUCAUGUUAGUAGAACCAUGGUGGUAUCUACAUGGUCAAUUUAUGUAUAAAUAGAAAUGAUGUGAUGAAGAAAUAUUUCAACUUUUCAAAAUCAUACCACCAGUGGCAAUAUGCAGAACAAUUGCUAUAUAUAGCAUUGGAAAUAAUACAUCUCAGUGGACCAAGGGUCCAGUAAACUAAUGGAGAUUUCGACUUAAUUUCAGUUUAAAAGAUAAGAAUGGAUAAUGUAUGACAUAAAAUCCACCUAUUACACAAAGUGGUGUCAAUAAAAUAAACAAACCUCCAUUAAUAAAUGGUUUCAUUCAUUGCAUUAUUACUUAGGGUCAAUUUAAAUAUAACUGUCCAAGUAUCUCUUAUUCUUUAUUCAUUUAAAACCCUAUUUGACAAGCUGGAUAUAUUAACAAUAAAACAUAAAUAGUUUCAUUUCUUGCAACGUUUAUUUUGAAAAUUAGCGUAUUCAGUUAAUUGUUUACGAAACAGAUUCUGACAUUUUACCAAAUUAUUAAAUAAUAUUUACCAGUCUCCAUUGUUAAAUACUCAAAAAAAAAUUAAAUGAAAUAUCUCAAUGUAUCUUGAGAAAAAAAAUCAUAACCAAAGAUGAAGAAUUUAUAUAUUCUUUCAAUUAUCGAAUAAAGGAUUGUGUUUUUCAAUCACCCCAGAAUAUGGCUUAUAACAGAUGUUACAGAUACAGACAUUAAUAUAUUACUUUUUUUUUCACAAAGCACACCAAAAUGAGGUAAUAUAUAGGUAUAUAUUAUACAUAGGAUUUCUAUUCGAUUAAAUUAAGUAAAAAUAAAAUUCUACAAAACAUAAUUAAAACAAAAUUUUAAUACUAUCUUAUGGCUCAAUACAAAUAUAUGACUACAUAGGAUAAAAAAAAAAGUCAGAUUAUUAUCUCCCUUGAAUUUCUCAAAGAGUUAGAAAGUAAGACAAUCUAAAUUUCAGUAAUAUGUACUUUGUGCCUUUACUCAUGUAUGAAUCUGUUCUCUUCCAAUUUAGAGAAUGCACAUCACCACAAGCAAGUAAGAGAGUCUAAGGAUCUACUUCGAUCACCAAGCAACCACUGUCACGAGUUUGAUGCAUGCAAUAUUUUAAUGAUUACAGAAACACGACUAUGAGAAUUCUUUAACACUGUUUUAAAGUCUGCCUAUUAAUAAGUAAUAAGAAUAGAUCAGUACACAUAAAAAUGAUUUUAGACAAGAGAGUCAACUCAAAAAAGCUUCAUACGACAAAUAAGACAGACAUAAACUUAAAUUUUCUACUUAUCAAUAAACAGAAUAAUAAAUACAAAUAAAGCGGAGUAUAUAUAAUGCACAUAAAGCAACAGAAUAAAUGAGCACUGCACAUUUAGCUACACAAAAUAACAGAAUAAAUGAGCACUGCACAUUUAGCUACACAAAAUAACAAUAAAUUAGCACUGCACAUGUUGAUACACAAAAGAACAGGAUAAAUGAGUCAAAGUAUCUUAUAAUCAAGUUAAAUGUGAACCUGAAAUAUUUGUGUAUGAACAUGUUGUACAUAUCCUUAAACUUCAAAACAAAAUUCUCAACCAGCAAGGAAAAAUAUAAAUAUGACUUAUGUGUGUAGUUCUUUUUUAUAUUUAUCUCCCUUUGAAAGAGAAUUUAACAACUCAAAGUAAUGUCAUUGCAUUGAAGUAAUACUUUAUGGCAUUGUUAUAUUUCUUAACAUCCUGAGAUUCAUUAAUUUUGAUUUCAAUCAAAUGCUUAUAGGCAAGCCAAAAGGCUAGCAAUUUUUCUACUUCUCAAUUUUGUGAACAUUCUUUCACAAAUUCAAAAUUUUAAAUCUAUUUAAAUUGAUAUUGGACAAUUACAGUUUGUUUGAUUUUCAAUCUUCAAUUAUUGUAUAGUCCUGAAUUAAAUAAUUAUACACAGGCCCUAUUUGAUGAAUACUGAAUAAAAUGCCUGAUUAGAUUGAAGAGAGACAACUCAGAUUAAAGGGAGAUAACAUCCUGAUGAAUAAUGGACUUUCCGUUGUUACAAGAGAGACAACUCUAAUUAAAAAAAAGCAAACAAACGUUUUAUCAACCAAAUCAAACCAGAUAAAUUGAUCACACAAAUUAAGGUUCAUGUGGACCCUAUGUCUAACAUGGCCAUAUUUUCACCUCAAAAUUUACUCUUGGAGUACAGACAAACCUGCGCAUCUGUAAAAAUUUUAAGGCAUAGCAUGCCCUAGAUAAAUACAUUUCAAAUGUUUCAUGCUUUAGAAAAAUAAAAACUUAUCAGGAUUUGGCAGUGCACUUUUUUGCAUUCCUCCAGAAGGUGCCAAUAUAAACUUAGUGGGAAACAGGUUUGAGCUUCCCCAAGGUAAUUUAUAUUGAAGUGUGCGGUAUUGAUUGAUAUGAACAAUAGAUAGACAAUAGAUACCUGACAAUAAUUGGUGAUUUAAACUGUGUACCUGAGUGGCUCAUAUCAAGGGAAACUCUACUGUUUGUUAAUUUCAUCAUCUUCGAUGACAUUGAGAAUGUUCAAAAAGUGCAUGGCUAAAUCCAGGUAAGUUAUGAAUUUUCUAAAUAAUACAAUGCAUUUGAAUUAUAUUUAUCUAGGGCAUGCUAUGCCUUAAAACUUUUCCAGGUGCACAGGUUUGUCUGUACUCAAGAGUAAAUUUUGCGGUGAAAAUGUGGCCAUUUUAGACAAAGGGUCCACAUGAACCUUAAUUCAGUAGUUCACAGUAUAUAAUACUGUGGUAAAAUUGCACAGUCCCUUUCAGGAAAAUGAUCACAUGAUACUACUUCUACGUUAUAAUUUGUAUUCUGCUAUUUUUUCUGAGUUUUCAUAAAAUGCAAGAAAUCUCAUGGUCAAAUGUAAAUUAAAUAAUAUUUUUCUUUGCAAAACAUCAUAAAAUAUGAUUUGAGAAAACCCAACAAUAAAAAAAAAUUAUUCAAACUUUUCAGAAAAAAAUAAUAUGUUGAAAAUAUUUUAUAUUAAGGCAACAACUUUUGACAGUGUUGAUUUUUAUCCUGUUUAUUUCGUUUUGAAACGGAUCUUUCAAUGACAAUUUCAUAUCAAUGAAAAGUUGUAUUAAAUGAAAAAUCUAAACAAAAAUUCAGUUAUAGGAUGUGUACCAUGAAGAAUAUUGAUAUUUAAACGUGCAUUUUUUUCAAUAAAAAUUAAGAAAAUAGGAUGUAAACAAAGCAAAAUGCUGUUCAACAUAAAAACAUAAGGUAACUAAUACGGAAAUUAUACCCUAAUAUGUUAAGCAAUCUCUUAUUGCAUAAAUAAUACCCUUAUUAUUAUAAAACCUUUUUGAGAGAAAUUAACCCUGAUAUUUUUUUAAUUGGAAGCUGCUAAUAUUUUCCUUUGUGCAUGCAAAAAGUAACAGUUUUUGUUAGAUUGUUAAUAGUGAAAAUUAAAAAAAAAAGAAGGUUAGAGUUAUUUUUAAUUAAAUCUGUCAAUGUGGUAACUUUCCACAUAAGAAUGGUGUCUAUUGAAUGCAGCUCAAAUAAAUAUGAAAACAUAUUUGAUCUUGUUUUCAUCCUGUUAAUAAGAUCUUUGGUUACAGCUCUAAAUGUUGGGACUAAAUUUCUUCUCUUAAGAUUUAUGGAGUACCGGUAUAUUCCUCUUAUGUAUUUAAAAAAGCCUACCAAAAGAGGGCCUUUAAAGCCGAUUUUAUUGAGUGUGUAGGCAAAGGUAAUAUAUAUAAUAUUUGGUAAGCUUGCUUGUUAGCUGAACCAUGAAGUCAUUAUUAGGUAAGGUAUACUAUCCUCCUUUAGAAGUAGUCUAGUCCUAAAGACAGAUAGAUUGUUUAUCUGUUGGACUGGUCUAUUCUUAAGGAAGGGUAGUUUACCUAACCUAAUAAUGACUUCAUGGUUCAACUAGCAAGCAAGCUAACCAAAGAUAUAAUCUUUUCCUACACACUCACUGCAAUCAGCUGUAACAGAAAAAUGUGUCAGUGCCAGACUAACUCUACAAAACAAAUAAUUAUGCUGAACAUUUGUAAAUUAAAAAUACAAAAUAAAGUUAUACAAUGGGAUGAAAAAUGAAAAUAAAAAUAUCUCUAAAAUCGCUUAAAUUAUGCAACAAACAUAGAAAUUAUUUAGGAAGCAAACAAAAGGAGAUAAAUCAAUGUAUAUAAACAAUGUCAUAAUUAUGAUUCAAUACACAUACACUAACAAAUAAUCACAAAUACCAUAAAUCGGCAAUUCUAAAUCUAGAAGAAUAGGUAUUCCUAACAAAACCUAAUGGAUUUCAAAUAUUGAUAUAAAUGAUAGUUCGCUGGAUUUCUUGUACAAAUUCCCUGUUAUUCACUGUUCAAAAGGGGAAAGCAGAACAAAAAAAUGACAGAUUUCAAAUAUUGGAAUAAAUGAAAAUGUUAUGGAUUUCAAGUUCAAAUUCCAGCAUAUUCACUGUUCAAAAAGGGGUAAAACAGAGAAAAAAUGAUGGAUAUCAAAUACUGGAAUAAAUGAAUAUGCUAUGAAUUUCAAGUUCAAAUUCUAGAUUAUUCACUGUUCAAAAAGAGGUAAAAUAGAUUCCAUUAUGUAUAGGAGAUAAAAUAUCCUCAAUUUAAUUUUAUACAAAUUUUAGAUUUUCAACAUACCAACUAGUGGGAAUGCUGAAAUGCCAAAUUUAACCAUCAAAGUAGAGAAAUAUGUACUUUAUUUAUUUUUUAAUUAAAAAGAGGGUACAUUGAUUCUCACAUAUUUUUUUAUCUUGUUUUAGUUUAAUUAGUAGUUUAUAUGAAUUAUACAGAAUUUGCAUAUUCAGGUCAUCAAGAAAACAAUACAAUUGCAAUGCUUUACCCAAUAAAUAAAGUUUGAUUCAAAUGCUAGACUUACAAUUCAUGUAAAACAAUUAUAAUACAACUGAAAUGUAUAUUUGUACAAUUCAUAGGUACCACUACAGUACAUCUCAUACAAUGUAUAUUAGUUCAACUUUACAAAACAAGUAUCUGCACAAUAUAAGUGUUAAAAAAAUUGAAAUUUGGAAUAAAAAGACUAGUUUUUUUGCAUUGUUUCAUAAAUUUUGUCAAUUAGCAUGAGAGGGUUCUUUGACCGAAAUAGAUUUGGCGCGUACAAUUUUCGUAAAAUUUUGACAAAAAUAGAACCACAAAAUUUACAGGAAUGGUUUCAUUCAUAUAUAAAAGCUUGAUUUCUUUUUGCUUAUGACGAAAGCUUUCAGUUGAUUUUUAAAGAGUUCACUCCCCUAUGUGUUAGGUACCCCCUUUAUUUUGAAUGUCUUUUACUUGUUAAUGACAUGCCCAAUUUUCAGUUCCUUUACAUCAAAUCUAACAGUUAAUUCUAGCUUUACAACAAAACAAAUUUAAUCUCACAGAUCAAUAGUGAAUGUUCUGCAAAUGUUUAUAUCAAGCAGUCGUUCAACUAAGGGAACAUAUAUUUACUCUAGUGAGCUUCCUCCAGGCAUGCUUGGAGGAUGCUCCGAGCAUUUUAGAGAAGCUAAUAUCGUUAAUACACCAUUACAUUCCCAUUAAUGUCAAUCAAUUAUAAAAGUUAUAGUUAAGAGCUUGUAUGAGCUUUCUGUAAGCCUUUUGUACGCCUGUAAUAAUAAAGUUUUACUAUGUUGCCCUAGAAAAUUAGUUAAUUGACACAAAAAUAGAUAUAUCAAAACUUGAGGUUAAACAGUUUAGGGACAUUUAAUCAACAUGAGAACGAAAAGCUCUAAAUAAAUGACUAAAACAUAUUUAUAUAAAGCCGAUCAAAAUAACACAACAGUGGUUGUAAAUAAAAUCGAUUACUUCAAAACAGAAACAAGUCACCUUUACAGUUAUCAUUACUCGAAAAUAAAUAUUAACGUUGUUGUCAAAUCUAUAAAAGAUAUUGUUGAAAAACUAUAUAGGAAAAAAAGAAAUAGAUUAACAAACUUGUAAGUUUUUGAAGAAUAAUAACAAAUCAAAACAUGGACACAUUCUUCCAAAAAUUCAUAAAAUCAAUCUAGAAAUAAUUAAUUAGGCAUUUCGAACAAGUCAUAUAGUUGGCAACAUAAACAUUUCUUACCGACCAAUCAUCCAUAAGUGUAACUCUACUACAUGACGCAUUGAAAGAUUACUGGAUCUAAUUCUAAAACCAUUAUUGAAGGGUCAUCACUUUUACAUUCAAGAUACGAAAGACUUCAUUUAUAAAAUGUUCCUCUUUGUUAAGUAGAACAAGAGAAAAUGUAAUAAAAAUAUUUACCUAACAGAUGGUCAAAAGUUAUAACAAUAUAGUCACCUUCUUAUGAGUGGGGUUAAGUAAAACUAAUCUGCAAUUAUAACUUUAAAAUAUACAAUAAACUCAAUAUAUGAGCGGUCAAUAUUAUUUGUUCUCUAGUUAAAGUGUCAAUGAACUCACACUUAUGAACUCAACAAAUGAACAAAUAUACAGUUAUGACAGAUUCAUAAAUGAAAUGACUUAAUCUAUACAAAUAUAAUGCAGACUAUUUCAAAAUAAAUUAUGUUUGAACAUGGUUGUCAACUGAAUAUUUUUUUUUGCAACUAUUCAUUUAAUUGCUAAUGAAUAAUUAUAACAUUUAAUGAAUGAUCAUAACCCACUCAUAACACUAUUAAUUGAAAAUAACGGCACAAAAAUUAUUUUCUACACAUAAUCGCAAUGUAUCAUUCCGAACUAUACAUUUACCCAAGAACCAUAUUAUGAAAAUAUCAUUCUAUAAACCUGGUAAUCGGUUUAAGUUAAUUUUCUGAGGAAAAUUAAAGAGUCAAAUAGCAAAAUGUUCUUCUGCGAAUAUGAUGGUUCCAGGAUUUAUUUACAGUUUGUUCAAAUGGACAUUUCAAAGUUGUCCUGCUAUUUCUUAAUAUACAUUUGUUUAUUUGCAAUUAAA
Molecule: long non-coding RNA, 7999 nt
Filed under: Mytilus galloprovincialis (Mediterranean mussel)
Lineage: Eukaryota; Metazoa; Mollusca; Bivalvia; Mytilida; Mytilidae
Source: RNAcentral